This is a long non-coding RNA of Ictalurus punctatus (channel catfish), 3845 nucleotides long. NCBI's taxonomy places the organism in Eukaryota, Metazoa, Chordata, Actinopteri, Siluriformes, Ictaluridae. The record is from Ensembl.
UCACAUGCCUAACUAUACUAUCACCUGUUUCAUCCUGAUGAGCACCUCUAUAUAAGCUCUAGUUUGUCAGCGUCCCACCAUCAAGCUUUUGUUGUUGCAUUUGUGUGUACUAUAGUUUUGUUCAUAAUCUGCAUGCUUUUGUCCUGUCUUGUCCUGUCUGUUUAGGUUUAUGGUUCUUGUUUUCACACUUUAAGUUGUUUUUGCACUUUAUACAUCUGCUGCCUCUACAAAUCCCUGACACAUUACUUUUUACACUAAAGGAGCCAUGUUUUAGCAAGUGUUUACUCAAUGUUUCAGGAUCAGUAUUGGAAAAGAAAAUGUAAUAUUGUAGUAUCUGUAGUAAACAUGCUCACACUUGCCUUGACAAAACACAGAGCAGCUAGGGCUAUCGGAAAAUUCAGUUUCAAACACGUGACGGGCGUUGCCUAAUGAGAGCUUAAAUUUAAAAAAAAAAAAAAAAAAAAAAAAAACUCCAUUGUUUUGCAGUUAUUUGCAGCCGACAACCAUGCAGGAUAUUCAACACAGCAUAAAUGUGUCUGUCAUACCUUUAAAUAUUAACCUCUCAAGAGGUUCUCCGUGCUCAUCUAAAUAUUAACCACUCAAAUUUGCUUUGCUGUUGACUCCCACUCAUUUCCAGCAUGUUUUGUGACUAGUGUGUUCAUGCUUGCAGGUCAGAAUGAUGCCCACCGUUCAACAUCCAAAGGUACAGUAAUACUUGACAUUGACCUGCCGUUACAGUUCAGAGCACACCUGAGUGUACUGAAAGCCAAGCUCAACUGAUUAAACAGGUGGAAUCGGUUGUGGCUCCUGCUUGCUUGGAAUGAAAACCUGCACCCACACCAGCCCUUUCCUGAUAAGAUGGGACACCCCUGGUUUAUACAGUAGUAACCUGUUUUGUUUUUAAGCCCUUCCAGCCCUGCAGAUCCCUUGCUCUGCAAAAUGUAAUAACCUGCUGAUCAGCAUCAGGGGAAGUGAAAUAUUCUAACACAGCAAACAAAUUUCCUGUUUUACUGGAUUAGAUGCAAAGCAAGGUUAUUAUUGUUAACGAAAACAACAAAAACUAUCAGUGUAAAAAAAAAAAGGCAUUCUUGUGAACUGAAAUAAAAAUACAAAUGUGAGUUUACAAAUAAACAAAAACUAAACCACAACUAUAAUGUCCACCUGCAAUAAGAAUGAUAACUAAAUCGAAUUUCCGAUAAUAGAACUUACGAUUUCGUAUUUUAAAUGUUGGGUAGUCUGACUUAAGAACAGAGGUUGAACAGAGUGGAUCCAUCAUUCAGUACGUUUACAUGGACAACAAUAAUCCGAUCUCAACCCGAUUAAGAUGAUACUCUGAUUAAGAAACUACUUGGUAAAAAGUGAUUAUUGAUUACGUUAAUCCGGCUAAAGUCAUACUCUAAGUAAACACAAAUCAAAUUAAUCAAGUGGUUUGGGACGCAGCCGUGCUCUCGUUUGCCGGAAAACGGUUGAGCGCUGCCGUGUGUGAUCGUGUCCUGUCGCAAAAUGCGGUGAAAACUCCCACACAACGUUAAUAGUGUGAUUAAUGUGUUACACAUGUUAUACGUCGAUAAUGCGACUAAAACAGGAGUACUCCACACGUCUUAAAUUCCAUUUGUGUUUACUUCGAGUAUGACUUUAGUCGGAUUAAGGUCAUCAAUAAUCGCUGUUUACAUGCUAGUUUAUUAAUCAGAGCAUUGGUUAAUAUUUUGAUUAUUGUUGUCCAUGUAAACGUACUAACUGUUACAUAAAGCUAUUACAAAAACACCACCCACGAAGUUAUAGCAAAAACGAAGAAAACGUGCACUUUCCCCACGGUGCCUUACUUACAGUUCCGCCCAGAGUGAGCAUUCUCGGCAUAACGUACAUUGCGAACGGCUUUAGCGGACCAGUGCUCAUUAUAUCGAGCGAAAAUAAUGAAAACGAAGCUUGUGAAACAAUAUUAGCUUUGUCCUUUUAGCGGUAAUACUGUUUAGUAUCACCGAAAACAAAAUGAACUUGACUCCUCUUAUAAGAACUCCUUGGUACAGCAGUGGUUUAGUAGCAGUGGAGCACUAACGCCGGAAUAUGCAGCCUCUGGCAACCUAAGUGAAGUACAAACUAUAACCCUGCUGCAAAGUAUUAGUGUAGACCUUCUGUAAGCAUCCACAACCUUACCAACCCUGGUCCCUGCACACUUAGUUUGUGUUGGAGCAGUGAAGUGUGCAGGAGAGGAGAUACUCCAGGACCAGCUGGGGGGUCGUGUCCACUGUCAACAAACAACUAAUACAGGAAACCUACACCCCUACAGACACAUAUCAGUUGCAUGCAACUGUGCAUAACAGCUCUGCAGAAGGCGGGGUUGUGCUGAAAGCUUGCACGAGUUUUUAAACAAUAACAAAACAAGCGUAUGUGGCUUUUAUGCAUCUCUACAGGAAUUGAUUGAUCCUCCGGUGCUUCCAUAUAUACACCCCUCUACAAUAAGUAUACAAUGUUGCUGAUUACUGGGAUCACUAACAUCAUCCUUCUCACUGUUUAAGGUAUGCAUGUCGUCAGGGCCAGAGUUGGACCUAUUUUGAGCCCAAGUCCAGACCUUUUUUUCUUUUUUCAUGGUGGAAGAACUUGGAUAAAUUAAGUGAUAGUUCAGUUCUUACUAUCCCGCUUCAUAGCUUCCUUUAUGAAAGGAUUAUCACUCGCAGUAAGAGUAAAUGGCAAACACACUAUACAGUAGACUUACAGAGAAUGAGUUUUUUCAUUGUAUGUCAGUCACUUGUGGUUGGUUCCAUCCUUGCUGUGAUGAACCUAUGCUAUGGGACGUUUUGGAGGGUGCUGAGGAUGAUGAUACGUUUUCAAUUAUAUUUCUGUUUGUACUAUGUGCUAAUGAUGUCAGAUUCCACUACAAAUCGUUCUUUUGAGUCGAUUCUUAGGAAGUAACCGGUUGAGCGGAUACACAAACUCGAACUGAAUCGAACUUUAGUUCUGGGUUGAUGACGCAAGACGCACAGCCGAAGUAGCACGCUCCGAGGCAUGUCCGACUCCAAAAGAACCGAAUGAGCAGAUUCAACUAACUGUCGAAGUUUGAAUUAUUUAAAACUAUUUGCAAACUAAGGUCUCGAGAAUUUGAAGUAGGCGUUUUACUCGAUGAUGUUACAAUUUCUACAAUUUAAUAUAUUUGUUUUCCAGUUGUGAACAUGGGAUUUUUAUGUUUCAUUAGGCUUAAUGGAUGCCGUUGUUGUGAUGGACAUUUGAAGAAAUCUGAUUUUCUUCCAUUUAUGUAUCAACAACAACGUAGUAGCCUUUGUAACGACAAGCCAGUGUGUAUGCCAUGAGCCUGAGACACAGUUUGAGAUUAAUGAGUUAUUCUUUCUAUAUAAUUUAGACAUGUAGAACAUAUCUGCAUUUGUGCAUCAGUGUCUGUAAUGUGUGCUGCAGGUGCAAAACUUCAAUGUAGGAAACUUGUAAAAGAUGUAGGCUACUCGAUAUUGGUCAGUCGUAUCCAGCAUGAAGGAUCAGCGCAUGAAACUCAUUAACAAACACCAUUAACUUAAGUGAAUGAAAGGCAAUAAUCAGCCAUACGCCUUCACACAAAUGGCUUUAUUGACUGGACAAACUUCUUUAACUCAAACUAGAGCACUGUGAAAAUGCUGAAUUGUAUUCUCAUGUACACAUAUAAUUUUACACAUAUAGCUACACAUCCUGACAUAUUUGCGCGCACUGUAUGAGUUGUAUUGAGUUGCAUAUGCUCAUCUUUUUUCAUCUUCACUUGUCUAUCGUUUUGCCUAUAAGCAUAUAUUCUAUUCUGUUUAGAUAUUUUCAUUUAUUUGUACAUUACAUUCUAUUCUAUAUAUAUAUAUUUAUGAUAACGGAGC